Branchiostoma floridae (Florida lancelet) is the source of this 254-nucleotide long non-coding RNA. RefSeq lists it as uncharacterized. The transcript is spliced from 2 exons. The record is from RefSeq and is a predicted model, not a curated record. NCBI's taxonomy places the organism in Eukaryota, Metazoa, Chordata, Leptocardii, Amphioxiformes, Branchiostomatidae.
UUUGACCCAAAACAAAAGAUCACUUCCGGGUCACAUGACGCCGUCUUCCUGUUUACUCGGAGAGUCGAGAGCAACAGCGGUUUGGAAAAGUUCCCGUCCUUCCGAAGCAAAAAUCACAACUUUCGCGGCUUUAGAGACAACCUGUUGGUGUUUCUGUGCAAGACUAGGGUUCAAGUUUGUUCAGAAGUUGCACAAGAUCUAGGAGGAUGUCGACGACAAGCAGUGCCAAGAGUUUGGGUGACGUCAGGAGAAAG